GAUGAACGCUGGCGGCGUGCUUAACACAUGCAAGUCGAACGGAGAAGGCGCAGCUUGUUCUGCUGGAUUAGUGGUGCACGUGUGUGAAACGCGUGAGCAAUCUGCCCCUGACUGUGGCAUAACCGCUGCAAACGGCUACCAACACGGGAUACGUGCUGCGACCGCAUCUUCAGCCGAUGGAAAAAAUCUCGGUCAGGGAUGCGCUCGCGGCGUAUCAGCUUGUUGGUGAGGUAAUGGCACACCAAGGCAUAGACGGGUACCAGGCCUGAGAGGGUUACCGGCCACACUGGGACUGGGACACGGCCCAGACUCCUACGGGAGGGAGCAGUGGGGAAUAGUACACAAUAGGCGAAAGCCUGAUGCGGCAACGCCGCGUGGGGGACGACGGCCAUCGGGUUGUAAUCCUCUUUUCGCAGGGAAGAAACGAAAGUGACGGUACCUGCAGAAGAAGCGCCGGCUAACUACGUG
RNAcentral lists this ribosomal RNA (468 nucleotides) under uncultured bacterium. RNAcentral's name for it is "partial 16S ribosomal RNA". It matches the Rfam family "Bacterial small subunit ribosomal RNA", at positions 28 to 507 of the family's 1533-position model. The record is from RNAcentral.